Non-coding RNA from Salmo salar (Atlantic salmon), 58 nucleotides. Lineage: Eukaryota; Metazoa; Chordata; Actinopteri; Salmoniformes; Salmonidae. The record is from Rfam.
UAGCUCUGUUGGUAGAGCAUGGUGUUUGCAACACCAGGGUUGUGGGUUCAAUUCCCAC